GAGGAUUAAAUGAGCUGGUGUUGUCAACCCCACAGCAGCCUCAGGUUGGGUCCUGAGUAGCCACUGAUGGAGGUGUCUCCAUUGCAGAGAGAUGCUGGGUGUGUCACACCUCCAGAGCUUCCUUUGGCUCUCAGAUUCGCUGUGCAGCCUCUUUGAAAACAAAAGCUGCUGGAGGAAUUUCCAGCAGGAGAUUAACUAGGGGUCAAGGGGUCUGGACAGCCAGGGUGGUG
RNAcentral lists this long non-coding RNA (230 nucleotides) under Homo sapiens (human). Its description in RNAcentral is "HSALNT0039361". The record is from RNAcentral. Lineage: Eukaryota; Metazoa; Chordata; Mammalia; Primates; Hominidae.